Molecule: ribosomal RNA, 795 nt
Filed under: uncultured bacterium
Lineage: Bacteria
Description: bacterial SSU rRNA
Rfam family: Bacterial small subunit ribosomal RNA
Source: RNAcentral
GGGGAGAGUAAAGUGGCGCACGGGUGAGUAUCGCGUGGGUAAUCUACCCUUGAAUUCAGGAUAACAUUUCGAAAGGGGUGCUAAUACUGGAUAACAUCCUGAUGGUUUCGGCCAUAAGGAUCAAAGAUAGCCUCUACAUGUAAGCUAUAGUUCAGGGAUGAGCCCGCGUACCAUUAGCUAGUUGGUGGGGUAAGAGCCUACCAAGGCAACGAUGGUUAGCUGGUCUGAGAGGAUGAUCAGCCACACUGGAACUGAAACACGGUCCAGACUCCUACGGGAGGCAGCAGUGAGGAAUUUUGCGCAAUGGGGGAAACCCUGACGCAGCAACGCCGCGUGAGUGAAGAAGGCUUUCGGGUCGUAAAGCUCUGUCAAGAGGGAAGAAAGUGGGGGAUGGUAAUACUGUUUUCUAUUGACGGUACCUCUGAAGGAAGCACCGGCUAACUCCGUGCCAGCAGCCGCGGUAAUACGGGGGGUGCAAGCGUUAUUCGGAUUUAUUGGGCGUAAAGAGCGCGUAGGCGGUUUAUCAAGUCAGAUGUGAAAGCCCUGGGCUCAACCUGGGAAGUGCAUUUGAAACUAGUAGACUUGAGUAUGGGAGAGGGGAGUGGAAUUCCUGGUGUAGAGGUGAAAUUCGUAGAUAUCAGGAGGAACACCGGUGGCGAAGGCGACUUCCUGGACCAAUACUGACGCUGAGGCGCGAAGGCGUGGGGAGCAAACAGGAUUAGAUACCCUGGUAGUCCACGCAGUAAACGGUGAUCACUAGGUGUAGCGGGUAUUGACCCCUGCUGUGCCGCAGUU